RNAcentral lists this ribosomal RNA (500 nucleotides) under uncultured bacterium. RNAcentral's name for it is "partial 16S ribosomal RNA". It matches the Rfam family "Bacterial small subunit ribosomal RNA", at positions 30 to 523 of the family's 1533-position model. The record is from RNAcentral.
AUUGAACGCUGGCGGAAUGCUUUACACAUGCAAGUCGAACGGCAGCACGGACUUCGGUCUGGUGGCGAGUGGCGAACGGGUGAGUAAUGUAUCGGAACGUGCCCAGUCGUGGGGGAUAACGAAGUGAAAAUUACGCUAAUACCGCAUACGAUCUAUGGAUGAAAGCGGGGGAUCGCAAGACCUCGCGCGAUUGGAGCGGCCGAUAUCAGAUUAGGUAGUUGGUGGGGUAAAGGCACACCAAGCCAACGAUCUGUAGCUGGUCUGAGAGGACGACAAGACACACUGGAACUGAGACACGGUCCAGAAUCCUACGGGAGGCAGCAGUGGGGAACUUUGGACAAUGGGCGAAAGCCUGAGCCAGCCAUUCCGCGUGCAGGAUGAAGGCCCUCGGGUUGUAAACUGCUUUUGUACAGAACGAAAAGGUUACUACUAAUACUAGGAGCUCAUGACGGUACUGGAAGAAUAAGCACCGGCUAACUACGUGCCAGCCGCCGCAGUAA